RNAcentral lists this ribosomal RNA (1381 nucleotides) under uncultured bacterium. RNAcentral's name for it is "bacterial SSU rRNA". It matches the Rfam family "Bacterial small subunit ribosomal RNA", at positions 19 to 1395 of the family's 1533-position model. The record is from RNAcentral.
CUGGCUCACGUUGAACGCUAGCUACAGGCUUAACACAUGCAAGUCGAGGGGCAGCAUGGUCUUAGCUUGCUAAGGCCGAUGGCGACCGGCGCACGGGUGAGUAACACGUAUCCAACCUGCCGUCUACUCUUGGACAGCCUUCUGAAAGGAAGAUUAAUACAAGAUGGCAUCAUGAGUCCGCAUGUUCACAUGAUUAAAGGUAUUCCGGUAGACGAUGGGGAUGCGUUCCAUUAGAUAGUAGGCGGGGUAACGGCCCACCUAGUCUUCGAUGGAUAGGGGUUCUGAGAGGAAGGUCCCCCACAUUGGAACUGAGACACGGUCCAAACUCCUACGGGAGGCAGCAGUGAGGAAUAUUGGUCAAUGGGCGAGAGCCUGAACCAGCCAAGUAGCGUGAAGGAUGACUGCCCUAUGGGUUGUAAACUUCUUUUAUAAAGGAAUAAAGUCGGGUAUGCAUACCCGUUUGCAUGUACUUUAUGAAUAAGGAUCGGCUAACUCCGUGCCAGCAGCCGCGGUAAUACGGAGGAUCCGAGCGUUAUCCGGAUUUAUUGGGUUUAAAGGGAGCGUAGAUGGAUGUUUAAGUCAGUUGUGAAAGUUUGCGGCUCAACCGUAAAAUUGCAGUUGAUACUGGAUAUCUUGAGUGCAGUUGAGGCAGGCGGAAUUCGUGGUGUAGCGGUGAAAUGCUUAGAUAUCACGAAGAACUCCGAUUGCGAAGGCAGCCUGCUAAGCUGCAACUGACAUUGAGGCUCGAAAGUGUGGGUAUCAAACAGGAUUAGAUACCCUGGUAGUCCACACGGUAAACGAUGAAUACUCGCUGUUUGCGAUAUACAGCAAGCGGCCAAGCGAAAGCGUUAAGUAUUCCACCUGGGGAGUACGCCGGCAACGGUGAAACUCAAAGGAAUUGACGGGGGCCCGCACAAGCGGAGGAACAUGUGGUUUAAUUCGAUGAUACGCGAGGAACCUUACCCGGGCUUAAAUUGCAGAUGAAUUACGGUGAAAGCCGUAAGCCGCAAGGCAUCUGUGAAGGUGCUGCAUGGUUGUCGUCAGCUCGUGCCGUGAGGUGUCGGCUUAAGUGCCAUAACGAGCGCAACCCUUGUUGUCAGUUACUAACAGGUUCCGCUGAGGACUCUGACAAGACUGCCAUCGUAAGAUGUGAGGAAGGUGGGGAUGACGUCAAAUCAGCACGGCCCUUACGUCCGGGGCUACACACGUGUUACAAUGGGGGGUACAGAGGGCCGCUACCACGCGAGUGGAUGCCAAUCCCCAAAACCUCUCUCAGUUCGGACUGGAGUCUGCAACCCGACUCCACGAAGCUGGAUUCGCUAGUAAUCGCGCAUCAGCCACGGCGCGGUGAAUACGUUCCCGGGCCUUGCACACACCGCCC